Molecule: ribosomal RNA, 301 nt
Filed under: uncultured bacterium
Lineage: Bacteria
Description: partial 16S ribosomal RNA
Rfam family: Bacterial small subunit ribosomal RNA
Source: RNAcentral
CAGCAGCCACGGUAAUACGUAGGGUGCAAGCGUUAAUCGGAAUUACUGGGCGUAAAGCGUGCGCAGGCGGUUAUAUAAGACAGAUGUGAAAUCCCCGGGCUCAACCUGGGAACUGCAUUUGUGACUGUAUAGCUAGAGUACGGCAGAGGGGGAUGGAAUUCCGCGUGUAGCAGUGAAAUGCGUAGAUAUGCGGAGGAACACCGAUGGCGAAGGCAAUCCCCUGGGCCUGUACUGACGCUCAUGCACGAAAGCGUGGGGAGCAAACAGGAUUAGAUACCCCUGUAGUCCCUGUAUCUUAUAC